AAGUCGUAACAAGGUUUCCGUAGGUGAACCUGCGGAAGGAUCAUUAACACGUAUCCAACGUAAAAAACCCCCCUGUGAACAUUCAAACCUGCUCUCGUAGCCCAGUGCGAUCCAGCAAUCCCGGUAAAUCAUUGUCGAACAGUAUUGAUUCGGGACUUCUGACAAAUGAGAAGUUACAGUUACGAUUGAGCGGAGAUAGCUGCAUGGCAUCCCGAAGCAGUCAGUGUCUGAAAGUGUCAUUGAUUGUCUAAGGAUCUCGCCUCAACGAUUGCCAGAGGUCGCUCACCCACGCCCCUUUACAACCCCAUUACCUCUGUGAGUCGCGGGAAACUAGCGGCUAAAAAACCUCGAACAACUGUUAACAAUGC
This 368-nucleotide unclassified non-coding RNA is filed under the name fungal sp. RNAcentral describes it as "partial internal transcribed spacer region". The stretch from base 1 to 46 matches the Rfam family "Eukaryotic small subunit ribosomal RNA", at positions 1786 to 1831 of the family's 1831-position model. The record is from RNAcentral. Lineage: Eukaryota; Fungi.